Non-coding RNA from Odocoileus virginianus texanus, 73 nucleotides. The record is from the annotation of a RefSeq genome assembly. Lineage: Eukaryota; Metazoa; Chordata; Mammalia; Artiodactyla; Cervidae.
GCCCAGCUAGGUCAGUCGGUAGAGCAUGGGACUCUUAAUCCCAGGGUUGUGGGUUCAAGCCACAUGUUGGGCA